This 585-nucleotide ribosomal RNA is filed under the name uncultured bacterium. RNAcentral describes it as "partial 16S ribosomal RNA". It matches the Rfam family "Bacterial small subunit ribosomal RNA", at positions 355 to 1376 of the family's 1533-position model. The record is from RNAcentral.
UAGGGAAUAUUGGGCAAUGGAUGCAAGUCUGACCCAGCCAUGCCGCGUGCCGGAUGAAGGCCCUCAGGGUUGUAAACGGCUUUUAUUCGGGAAGAAGAGCAGGGGUGCGCCUUUGUGUGACGGUACCGAAUGAAUAAGCACCGGCUAACUCCGUGCCAGCAGCCGCGGUAAUACGGAGGGUGCGAGCGUUGUCCGGAUUUAUUGGGUUUAAAGGGUGCGUAGGUGGCUUUAUAAGUCAGUGGUGAAAUACAGCCGCUUAACGGUUGAGGUGCCAUUGAUACUGUAGAGCUUGAAACAAUUGGAGGCUGCCGGAAUGGAUGGUGUAGCGGUGAAAUGCAUAGAUAUCAUCCAGAACACCGAUUGCGAAGGCAGGUGGCUACGUUUGAUUUGACACUGAGGCACGAAAAGCAUGGGGGAGCAAAACAGGAUUAGAUACCCUGGUAGUCCAUGCUGUAAAACGAUGAGGACUCGCUGCUGGGCUGUCACGGUCCAGCGGCUUAGGGAAACCGUUAAGUCCUCCACCUGGGGAGUACGCCGGCAACGGUGAAAACUCAAAGGAAUUGACGGGGUCAUAGCUGUUUCCUG